Parasteatoda tepidariorum (common house spider) is the source of this 216-nucleotide non-coding RNA. Lineage: Eukaryota; Metazoa; Arthropoda; Arachnida; Araneae; Theridiidae. The record is from RefSeq and is a predicted model, not a curated record.
UAGAAUGCAGUUCGCCAUAACUUAAGUCUUCAACCAUAUUUUAUGCGGGUUGCUGUUGAUGCUAAAGGGGGUAUGUGGACCAUGGAUCAAAUAGAGUUUUUCAAACGAAAAGAAAGAACGUCUGGCAAUCACCAGUUGUCUGCACAAGGUUAUACUCUUCAAGGAACUACACUUAAACAUGCUCAUGGAAGAAAACAAAGAACUUUCAGCAGAACA